RNAcentral lists this ribosomal RNA (520 nucleotides) under uncultured bacterium. Its description in RNAcentral is "bacterial SSU rRNA". It matches the Rfam family "Archaeal small subunit ribosomal RNA", at positions 723 to 1243 of the family's 1478-position model. The record is from RNAcentral.
AGUGAAUAGAUACCCAGGUAGUCCCAGCCGUAAACGAUGCGCGUUAGGUGUAUCGGUGACCACGAGUCAUCGAGGUGCCGAAGGGAAACCGUGAAACGUGCCGCCUGGGAAGUACGGUCGCAAGGCUGAAACUUAAAGGAAUUGGCGGGGGAGCACCACAACAGGUGGAGCCUGCGGUUUAAUUGGACUCAACGCCGGGCAGCUCACCGGAUAAGACAGCUGGAUGAUAGCCGGGCUGAAGACUCUGCUUGACUAGCUGAGAGGAGGUGCAUGGCCGUCGUCAGUUCGUACUGUGAAGCAUCCUGUUAAGUCAGGCAACGAGCGAGACCCACACCAACAGUUGCCAGCGUGUCCUCCGGGAUGACGGGGACACUGUUGGGACCGCCUCUGCUAAAGAGGAGGAAGGAAUGGGCAACGGUAGGUCAGCAUGCCCCGAAUUAUCCGGGCUACACGCGGGCUACAACGGGCAGGACAAUGGGUAUCGACACCGAAAGGUGAAGGCAAUCUCCUAAACCUGUCC